UACAGCAAUAGCAGCUCUCCCAGCCUGUCCCAGCGACCUUGCUCUCACCCUGUGGCUGUCUAGGUUUUGCCCCAUUGCAGGCUGGCUAGGUGUUGCCCCGUUGAAGGCUAUCUAGGUGUCGACUUGUUGCAGGCUGGCUUGGUGUUGACCUGUUGUAGGCUGGCUUGGUGUUGACCUGUUGUAGGCUGGCUAGGUGUUGACUCUUUGCAGGCUGGCUAGGUGUUGUUGACCCAUUGCAGGCUGGCUAGGUGAUGUUGCCCCGCUGCAGGCCGGCUAGGUGUUGUUGCCCCGCUACAGGCCGGCUAGGUGUUGUUGACCCAUUGCAGGCUGGCUAGGUGUUGACCCACUACAGGCUGGCUAGGAGUUGACCCAUUGCAUGCUGGCUAGGUGUUGUUGGCCCAUUGCAUGCUGGCUAGGUGUUGUAGGCCCAUUGCAGGCAGGCUAGGUGUUGCAGGCAGGCUAGGUGUUGUUGCCCCAUUGCAGGCUGGCUUGGUGUUGUUGCCCCAUUGCAUGCUGGCUAGGUGUUGUUGCCCCAUUGCAUGCUGGCUAGGUGUUGUUGACUCAGUGCAUGCUGGCUAGGUGUUGUUGACUCAUUGCAUGCAGGCUAGGUGUUGCCCCAUUUCAGGCUGGCUAGGUGUUGUUGAUCCAUUGCAGGCUGGCUAGGUGUUGAUCCAUUGCAGGCUGGCUAGGUGUUGACCCAUGUCAGGCUGGCUAUGUGUUAUUCAGGCUGGCUAGGUGUUGGUGUUGUUCAGGCUGGCUAGGUGAUGACCCAUGGCUGGCUAGGUGUUAUUCAGGCUGGCUAGGUGAUGACCCAUGGCUGGCUAGGUGUUAUUCAGGCUGGCUAGGUGUUGUUGACCCAUUGCAGGCUGGCUAGGUGAUGUUGCCCCGCUGCAGGCCGGCUAGGUGUUGUUGCCCCGCUACAGGCCGGCUAGGUGUUGUUGACCCAUUGCAGGCUGGCUAGGUGUUGACCCACUACAGGCUGGCUAGGAGUUGACCCAUUGCAUGCUGGCUAGGUGUUGUUGGCCCAUUGCAUGCUGGCUAGGUGUUGUAGGCCCAUUGCAGGCAGGCUAGGUGUUGCAGG
This is a non-coding RNA of Pelobates cultripes (western spadefoot toad), 1081 nucleotides long. The record is from the annotation of a GenBank genome assembly. Lineage: Eukaryota; Metazoa; Chordata; Amphibia; Anura; Pelobatidae.